AAGUCGUAACAAGGUUUCCGUAGGUGAACCUGCGGAAGGAUCAUUAUCGAAUAAACUUGGUGGGCUGUAGCUGGCUUUAUGAAGCAUGUGCACGCCUGCUAACUUUAUCCAUCCACCUGUGCACCCUCUGUAGUCUUGGGAGGUUGAGAGCUAGCUGAACCUUGAUAGAAAGCCUUCUUUGGCCUUUCGAAAUGGUAUUUGGGCUUGUAAUCACUUCUCUGACUAUGUUGUUACAUAUAUCACUGUGAAGCAGAAUGUAUAGUUAGGGCCUUUGCGCCUAUAAACAUCAAUACAACUUUCAGCAACGGAUCUCUUGGCUCUC
This 322-nucleotide unclassified non-coding RNA is filed under the name Lepiota sp. Its description in RNAcentral is "partial internal transcribed spacer region". The stretch from base 1 to 46 matches the Rfam family "Eukaryotic small subunit ribosomal RNA", at positions 1786 to 1831 of the family's 1831-position model. The record is from RNAcentral. Lineage: Eukaryota; Fungi; Basidiomycota; Agaricomycetes; Agaricales; Agaricaceae.